GCGACACUAGCUCAGUUGGUAGAGCGCAACCUUGCCAAGGUUGAGGACACGAGUUCGAACCUCGUGUGUCGCUCCA
RNAcentral lists this transfer RNA (76 nucleotides) under Vibrio parahaemolyticus. Its description in RNAcentral is "tRNA-Gly". It matches the Rfam family "tRNA". Rfam says of the family: Transfer RNA (tRNA) molecules are approximately 80 nucleotides in length. Their secondary structure includes four short double-helical elements and three loops (D, anti-codon, and T loops). Lineage: Bacteria; Pseudomonadati; Pseudomonadota; Gammaproteobacteria; Vibrionales; Vibrionaceae. RNAcentral also lists the same sequence under 1 other name. The record is from RNAcentral.